Molecule: long non-coding RNA, 899 nt
Filed under: Homo sapiens (human)
Lineage: Eukaryota; Metazoa; Chordata; Mammalia; Primates; Hominidae
Description: HSALNT0156333
Source: RNAcentral
CUCAAAGAAGAUGAACAAACAGACUUUCCCUGAGCACUGUAGUUUGUGUAAAGAGAUCUUGCCAUUCACAGAUCGCAAACAGGCAGUCUGUUCCAAUGGCCACAUUUGGCUCCGGUGCUUCUUAACCUACCAGUCCUGCCAGAGUUUGAUAUAUAGAAGGUGUUUGCUCCAUGACAGCAUUGCCCGGCAUCCAGCUCCAGAAGAUCCCGACUGGAUUAAGAGGUUACUGCAAAGCCCCUGCCCUUUCUGUGAUUCUCCUGUCUUCUAAAUAAUCAGUGACGGGAAGAUGGAAGGGCAUGAUGAACUCUGCCAUAGAAAACUUCCUCCAGCCUGAAGAGAAGGAUGCACUGGAGGAAGCCGGACCCUCACGAGUGGAGAGAAGUCCUUGGUGAUUGUAAAGAGGGCCCCUGGAGCUCAUUUCUGAAUCGCACUCUCCAUUUCCAGAGACUAAAGGAUGUCCUUUGAAAUGGCUGGACUCAGAGAGUUGGAGUCGUUUUGAGAUGAGCAUUAGCCCCAGCUUUGUAACCAAUGAGGAACACUUACUUAUUUUUAAGUAUCUUGACAGAAGCAAUUUGAACACAGUGUCCCGUCAUUUCUAGAAACAGAAUGGUCUCUUCUAGAGAGCUUGGAUAAGGACCUUGCUGGGUUGAGUUAGGUUUUAAUCCUUGCUUUGGUUUGGAACUGCCUUCGGGCUCCAGAACUUAAAUUGCUUGGUCCGUGGCAUCUGAUGUACCAACAGAGAUUAAAAGUGUAAAGCAACACAUGGGCUGAUGUUUUGUUCUCAGAAAAUAGCUGCUGGUCUGCAUCCCUCCAUUCUUGUUUUUUAUGCAUAUGGAAAACAUUUUCCUAAAACUCUAUAUUCUUAAGUUGAAGCCAAGACUAAAAUUUAAUGUGUCAAA